RNAcentral lists this ribosomal RNA (459 nucleotides) under uncultured bacterium. Its description in RNAcentral is "partial 16S ribosomal RNA". It matches the Rfam family "Bacterial small subunit ribosomal RNA", at positions 29 to 507 of the family's 1533-position model. The record is from RNAcentral.
AGCGAACGCUGGCGGCAGGCCUAACACAUGCAAGUCGAACGAACCUUUCGGGGUUAGUGGCGGACGGGUGAGUAACACGUGGGAACGUGCCUUUAGGUUCGGAAUAACUCAGGGAAACUUGUGCUAAUACCGAAUGUGCCCUUCGGGGGAAAGAUUAAUCGCCUUUAGAGCGGCCCGCGUCUGAUUAGCUAGUUGGUUGAGGUAAUGGCUCACCAAGGCGACGAUCAGUAGCUGGUCUGAGAGGAUGAUCAGCCACAUUGGGACUGAGACACGGCCCAAACUCCUACGGGAGGCAGCAGUGGGGAAUCUUGCGCAAUGGGCGAAAGCCUGACGCAGCGACGCCGCGUGCGGGAGGAAGCUUUUCGGAGUGUAAACCGCUGUCAGAGGGGAAGAAAUGUCGGGGGAGGAAAUGCCCUUGAUUUGACGGUACCCUCAAAGGAAGCACCGGCUAACUCUGUG